RNAcentral lists this ribosomal RNA (253 nucleotides) under uncultured bacterium. RNAcentral's name for it is "partial 16S ribosomal RNA". It matches the Rfam family "Bacterial small subunit ribosomal RNA", at positions 524 to 776 of the family's 1533-position model. The record is from RNAcentral.
CACGUAGGGCGCGAGCGUUGUCCGGAAUUAUUGGGCGUAAAGAGCGUGUAGGCGGCCGUACAGGUCAGCUGUGAAAACUCGAGGCUCAACCUCGAGACGUCGGUUGAAACCGUACGGCUAGAGUCCGGAAGAGGAGAGUGGAAUUCCCGGUGUAGCGGUGAAAUGCGCAGAUAUCGGGAAGAACACCCGUGGCGAAGGCGGCUCUCUGGGACGGUACUGACGCUGAGACGCGAAAGCGUGGGGAGCGAACAGG